This 341-nucleotide ribosomal RNA is filed under the name uncultured bacterium. Its description in RNAcentral is "bacterial SSU rRNA". It matches the Rfam family "Bacterial small subunit ribosomal RNA", at positions 30 to 369 of the family's 1533-position model. The record is from RNAcentral.
AUUGAACGCUGGCGGCAUGCCUUACACAUGCAAGUCGAACGGCAGCACGGGAGCUUGCUCCUGGUGGCGAGUGGCGAACGGGUGAGUAAUACAUCGGAACGUACCCUGAAGUGGGGGAUAACGUAGCGAAAGUUACGCUAAUACCGCAUAUUCUGUGAGCAGGAAAGAGGGGGAUCGCAAGACCUCUUGCUUUAGGAGCGGCCGAUGUCGGAUUAGCUGGUUGGUGAGGUAAAGGCUCACCAAGGCGACGAUCCGUAGCGGGUCUGAGAGGAUGAUCCGCCACACUGGGACUGAGACACGGCCCAGACUCCUACGGGAGGCAGCAGUGGGGAAUUUUGGAC